Molecule: ribosomal RNA, 536 nt
Filed under: Alteromonas sp.
Lineage: Bacteria; Pseudomonadati; Pseudomonadota; Gammaproteobacteria; Alteromonadales; Alteromonadaceae
Description: bacterial SSU rRNA
Rfam family: Bacterial small subunit ribosomal RNA
Source: RNAcentral
GGACCUGAUGCAGCCAUGCCGCGUGUGUGAAGAAGGCCUUCGGGUUGUAAAGCACUUUCAGUUGUGAGGAAAGGUUGGUAGUUAAUACCUGCCAGCUGUGACGUUAACAACAGAAGAAGCACCGGCUAACUCCGUGCCAGCAGCCGCGGUAAUACGGAGGGUGCGAGCGUUAAUCGGAAUUACUGGGCGUAAAGCGCACGCAGGCGGUUUGUUAAGCUAGAUGUGAAAGCCCCGGGCUCAACCUGGGAUGGUCAUUUAGAACUGGCAGACUAGAGUCUUGGAGAGGGGAGUGGAAUUCCAGGUGUAGCGGUGAAAUGCGUAGAUAUCUGGAGGAACAUCAGUGGCGAAGGCGGCUCCCUGGCCAAAGACUGACGCUCAUGUGCGAAAGUGUGGGUAGCGAACAGGAUUAGAUACCCUGGUAGUCCACACCGUAAACGCUGUCUACUAGCUGUUUGUGAAUUUAAUUCGUGAGUAGCGAAGCUAACGCGCUAAGUAGACCGCCUGGGGAGUACGGCCGCAAGGUUAAAACUCAAAUG